Molecule: long non-coding RNA, 789 nt
Organism: Brassica napus (rape)
Lineage: Eukaryota; Viridiplantae; Streptophyta; Magnoliopsida; Brassicales; Brassicaceae
Exons: 2
Source: RefSeq, a predicted model, not a curated record
AAGUGAGAUUCAGAGUGCAGCACUUUCUUUCGUAAAGCUCAGUCUGGAAAGUAACAAGGGACGCGGGUGUAGCUGAUGGAUCCUCCUCUGCUGCAAGCAAAGUUAUAUAAUAACGGGCAGGCAUGUACGUACCCUCUCUAUUGUAUUUCUCUAUUUCGUGAAGCUGCAGAUUGGUCCCCUCUAAAACAUUGUAGCGGUGAAGGCCGACCUUUGCAUAAAGCUGCACUACAAGGAGACAAUCUUUCCCUCCAGAGAACUCAUGCAUUCCCCAAUCACGAUGAUCCCUCAGUUCACCCAUAUCGAACCCCUACGAGGAUUCAAUUUCUACUCGUCGGAAAAGCCCCAAGUGUACCACUGCACAAAAUAUGGUGUUACUGAGCGGGUGUAUUGAAUAUGGAACAUACAACCUUAUUGGUCGAAACAAAAAAAUGACGUAUAUUACGAUAAAAUUGCAGAUUAUUGUAAUGAGCUAAAUUUGCAGAUUAUUGUAAUGAGCAUUGUUCAUUUGAUCCUUCGCGUGAUUUAAUAUCUUGCAAAAAUCAUUUCAACUACAUAAACAAAAUAUUGGAAAAAUGGAUCGAUGCUUAUGAUAAAGCUGAGCGGGGGGCAACAUGUUAAACCAUUUUGAUAGUCAAAUUUGUCACAUGAAUAAAAACAAUCGAACUCCAAACUUGUACACUUGCACAUGCUCUUAUGAAAUGAAACGCUAAAUCUUCUUAUCCAUAGAGUCGCAUUACAUAAGUAACUUCAUAACAGAUGUUUCCUCUUCAAGAGGUUCCUAAAUACAUA